UACACUCCCAGAAGAAAAGCCAUUGUUCACUA
This 32-nucleotide non-coding RNA is filed under the name Mus musculus (house mouse). The record is from RNAcentral. Lineage: Eukaryota; Metazoa; Chordata; Mammalia; Rodentia; Muridae.